GACGGGGGGGGCAAGUGUUCUUCGGAAUGACUGGGCGUAAAGCGCGUGUAGGCGGCUGCGUGUGUCGGGCGUGAAAUCCCAUGGCUCAACCAUGGAAGUGCACCCGAAACUGCGUAGCUAGAGUCCUGGAGAGGAAGGUGGAAUGCUUGGUGUAGAGGUGAAAUUCGUAGAUAUCAAGCGGAACACCGGUGGCGGAGGCGGCCUUCUGGACAGUGACUGACGCUGAGACGCGAAAGCGUGGGGAGCAAACAGG
Molecule: ribosomal RNA, 253 nt
Filed under: uncultured bacterium
Lineage: Bacteria
Description: partial 16S ribosomal RNA
Rfam family: Bacterial small subunit ribosomal RNA
Source: RNAcentral